AGGUCACGGGAGGAGAGUUGAAUUCAAGGAUCGUGAGGAGAAAGAUUCAAUUCUGAAAGCCUUUGUGGAGGAGAAUUACAGUCAGUGUACGUGAAUAACAUAAACCUGUACGGGGAGUAUGCCAUGCUGUGGAAUAUAUAUAUAUAUAUAUAUAUAUAUAUAUAUAUAUAUAGGCACUGGCAAUUUACAUGCAGCUAGCAUACAGCAGUGGUGAACAUAGAUAUACAUAGAUUUGAGUGAUAAUAUUUCCAUAUUUGAAAUACUGUUGCAUUGCACCACCAGCAGGAGUUUG
Molecule: long non-coding RNA, 292 nt
Filed under: Populus tremula
Lineage: Eukaryota; Viridiplantae; Streptophyta; Magnoliopsida; Malpighiales; Salicaceae
Description: long non-coding RNA (PTRE_LNC000437)
Source: RNAcentral